Non-coding RNA from Hordeum vulgare subsp. vulgare (domesticated barley), 168 nucleotides. The record is from Rfam. NCBI's taxonomy places the organism in Eukaryota, Viridiplantae, Streptophyta, Magnoliopsida, Poales, Poaceae.
CGCAGGAAGAUGAAUAAAAGAGGGCCUAAGAGUAGUGGGCAUGGGAACUUGAUGGAAUACUAAAGCUCUCUUAGUUCCUCGUGCAACACUGAAACAUACUUUGGUUGAGUUUUGCCCAUGUCUCCCAUGCCUAUUGUUUUUUGGUGCUCCUACCUCUUCCUUUUGGGU